AGUGAACGCUGGCGGUAGGCCUAACACAUGCAAGUCGAACGGCAGCACAGUAAGAGCUUGCUCUUACGGGUGGCGAGUGGCGGACGGGUGAGGAAUACAUCGGAAUCUACUUUUUCGUGGGGGAUAACGUAGGGAAACUUACGCUAAUACCGCAUACGACGUACGGGUGAAAGCAGGGGAUCUUCGGACCUUGCGCGAUUGAAUGAGCCGAUGUCGGAUUAGCUAGUUGGCGGGGUAAAGGCCCACCAAGGCGACGAUCCGUAGCUGGUCUGGGAGGAUGGUCAGCCACACGGGAACUGAGACACGGUCCAGACUCCUACGGGAGGCAGCAGUGGGGAAUAUUGGACAAUGGGCGCAAGCCUGAUCCAGCCAUACCGCGUGGGUGAAGAAGGCGUUCGGGUUGUAAAGCCCUUUUGUUGGGAAAGAAAAGCAGCAGGUUAAUACCCCGCUGUUCUGACGGUACCCAAAGAAUAAGCACCGGCUAACUUCGUG
Molecule: ribosomal RNA, 492 nt
Filed under: uncultured bacterium
Lineage: Bacteria
Description: partial 16S ribosomal RNA
Rfam family: Bacterial small subunit ribosomal RNA
Source: RNAcentral